AGUUUUUUAAAAUACUCUGGCACUGAAUCAGAGAAAUUAUAGACCGAAUGUCCUUUUACUGAAGAGGGCACUCCACUCCUUCCUCUAUAGGCCAAAGUCAUUUCCUUUGACAAACAUCAUGUCCUAAGGACCAGUGACCUCAACCUCUCUCUUUGUGUGGGGAUCCAAACUGGGUCAAAUGGAACAUGGCAGCACCGGAGAGCUUUGCCUCAUGGACUUUCCUUGGAUCCUGCCUAAAGAAAAAUAAGUGAGACAAUUCAUUUCCAGGACUAUACAGAUGCAGUUAUUUGGACCCAACCCUGGAACAGAAUAUUUUAAAAAUCUUUUGGAAAGCUUAAAAAAGAGGGAAUGAGAUUAGGUAAGCUGGUGGCAACGAAAAGAACCUCUGAAAUGGCCGCAAGGGAUGGGUGCAGG
RNAcentral lists this long non-coding RNA (414 nucleotides) under Mus musculus (house mouse). RNAcentral describes it as "predicted gene, 47827". Lineage: Eukaryota; Metazoa; Chordata; Mammalia; Rodentia; Muridae. The record is from RNAcentral.